RNAcentral lists this long non-coding RNA (1286 nucleotides) under Homo sapiens (human). RNAcentral describes it as "HSALNT0402784". Lineage: Eukaryota; Metazoa; Chordata; Mammalia; Primates; Hominidae. The record is from RNAcentral.
AGGCCGUCCUGUAGCCGGGCCGGCUUGGGGCUUGGUUCUAUGUCCCUGCGGGUCGGUGCAAGGGCGAAGAGGAACCCGUGGGCCUCAGGGGAUCCCGGGGGGCCGGACCAGUGUUCCCUAGUUGUGGGAGCAGACGCGUGGGCACAUUGCGGGCGGGCAGGGCCUGAAGUGCAGGUGCGGGCAGUGGACCCUGGCGGGGGCUGGGAGGACAGGCGUGGGGUCCCGGCAGUGAAACGGGUUCUAGAGGCGCAGGAGCAGGUAGGAGAGGCCGGUGGCCCUGGGCCCGGAGUCUGCAGGCCGCGCUCCUGUCCUGCCGCUGAGGGACCCGGUUACCAACCUGCAUGACGCUCAGUUUGCCCAUCUGUCCCAGUGGUAACACACAGUUCUCGGGAGACGUUCCCCAUUCCCAGAGGAGUAGUGUGAAACGCGUGCGCCUCUAGUCUUAAACUUGGCGUUUGUAUUAGUUGGGUUUCCUGGUGUCUCUUUAGCAAGUGAAGUUUCUGGUUCCCUCCUUCACUGUGUGACCUGCCUAGUCCUCCUGGGUCGCAUUUACAGAAGUUUAUACGAGACCUAGUUUCCAGGGAAGAACUCACUGAUUCCGCGAGGGAGAUGGCUUAAUGGAUGAUGGUCGUCAGCCUUAAGGAUACUUCAGUCUUAACUGUGUGUUACAAAGUUUGAAAGGGAGGGUUCCCUAUGAAUAAGAAGCACACUUGAAAGAACAGCCAUCUGGUCUAACCUCUCACUGGUGCUUCAGAGGAGGAAAAAAGGUCACAGCUAUGUUUCCAGUGUCCUCUGGGUGUUUCCAAGAGCAACAAGAAAUGAAUAAAUCUCUGUUGAAGAGAUACCAUUUGACAUUUUAGAGAUGGCUGCAUGCAAACUCUUGAAACAUUUGACUUGUCCAAAUGUUCCAUUGGUCCCUGUUCAUCCCGCCCUGCAGCUCUCCUUGACUGAUUCUGCCCUUUGUGGUUUGCAGUCCUGUUUCUCUACAGCUUGGACCCCUUCAAUCUUUCCAUCAUAGGUUUAACUCUCUGUUGAAUUCUUAUUUGUAGCUACGCAAAUGUUACCUUAAGCUAAAAAAAUUCAAAGUGAAAGCCACAUCCUCCUCUCUUCCCUUAUGUGUAUGGUAUUACUACCAUGCAGCCAGUGACCCAAAAUGGGAUUUUUUCUGGGCUUUUCUUGCUUAGAUUCAGGCUCAUCUGGUGUCAAGCCUUGUUACUUUUGUUUCCUUGUUCUUUUAUUUUUAAUUUUUUUUCUUUUGAGACAGAGUUUCACUCUUGUUGCCCAGG